AUUGAACGCUGGCGGCAUGCUUUACACAUGCAAGUCGAACGGUAACAGGCCGCAAGGUGCUGACGAGUGGCGAACGGGUGAGUAAUGCAUCGGAACGUGCCCAGUCGUGGGGGAUAACGCAGCGAAAGCUGCGCUAAUACCGCAUACGAUCUAUGGAUGAAAGCGGGGGACCGUAAGGCCUCGCGCGAUUGGAGCGGCCGAUGUCAGAUUAGGUAGUUGGUGGGGUAAAGGCGCACCAAGCCAACGAUCUGUAGCUGGUCUGAGAGGACGACCAGCCACACUGGGACGGAGACACGGCCCAGACUCCUACGGGAGGCAGCAGUGGGGAAUUUUGGACAAUGGGCGCAAGCCUGAUCCAGCAAUGCCGCGUGCAGGAAGAAGGCCUUCGGGUUGUAAACUGCUUUUGUACGGAACGAAACGGCUCUGGUUAAUACCUGGGGCUAAUGACGGUACCGUAAGAAUAAGCACCGGCUAACUACGUGCCAGCCGCCGCAGUAA
Molecule: ribosomal RNA, 498 nt
Filed under: uncultured bacterium
Lineage: Bacteria
Description: partial 16S ribosomal RNA
Rfam family: Bacterial small subunit ribosomal RNA
Source: RNAcentral